This 1290-nucleotide ribosomal RNA is filed under the name Escherichia coli. RNAcentral's name for it is "partial 23S ribosomal RNA". It matches the Rfam family "Bacterial large subunit ribosomal RNA", at positions 414 to 1706 of the family's 2925-position model. Lineage: Bacteria; Pseudomonadati; Pseudomonadota; Gammaproteobacteria; Enterobacterales; Enterobacteriaceae. The record is from RNAcentral.
AGGGCGGGACACGUGGUAUCCUGUCUGAAUAUGGGGGGACCAUCCUCCAAGGCUAAAUACUCCUGACUGACCGAUAGUGAACCAGUACCGUGAGGGAAAGGCGAAAAGAACCCCGGCGAGGGGAGUGAAAAAGAACCUGAAACCGUGUACGUACAAGCAGUGGGAGCACGCUUAGGCGUGUGACUGCGUACCUUUUGUAUAAUGGGUCAGCGACUUAUAUUCUGUAGCAAGGUUAACCGAAUAGGGGAGCCGAAGGGAAACCGAGUCUUAACUGGGCGUUAAGUUGCAGGGUAUAGACCCGAAACCCGGUGAUCUAGCCAUGGGCAGGUUGAAGGUUGGGUAACACUAACUGGAGGACCGAACCGACUAAUGUUGAAAAAUUAGCGGAUGACUUGUGGCUGGGGGUGAAAGGCCAAUCAAACCGGGAGAUAGCUGGUUCUCCCCGAAAGCUAUUUAGGUAGCGCCUCGUGAAUUCAUCUCCGGGGGUAGAGCACUGUUUCGGCAAGGGGGUCAUCCCGACUUACCAACCCGAUGCAAACUGCGAAUACCGGAGAAUGUUAUCACGGGAGACACACGGCGGGUGCUAACGUCCGUCGUGAAGAGGGAAACAACCCAGACCGCCAGCUAAGGUCCCAAAGUCAUGGUUAAGUGGGAAACGAUGUGGGAAGGCCCAGACAGCCAGGAUGUUGGCUUAGAAGCAGCCAUCAUUUAAAGAAAGCGUAAUAGCUCACUGGUCGAGUCGGCCUGCGCGGAAGAUGUAACGGGGCUAAACCAUGCACCGAAGCUGCGGCAGCGACGCUGAUGCGUUGUUGGGUAGGGGAGCGUUCUGUAAGCCUGCGAAGGUGUGCUGUGAGGCAUGCUGGAGGUAUCAGAAGUGCGAAUGCUGACAUAAGUAACGAUAAAGCGGGUGAAAAGCCCGCUCGCCGGAAGACCAAGGGUUCCUGUCCAACGUUAAUCGGGGCAGGGUGAGUCGACCCCUAAGGCGAGGCCGAAAGGCGUAGUCGAUGGGAAACAGGUUAAUAUUCCUGUACUUGGUGUUACUGCGAAGGGGGGACGGAGAAGGCUAUGUUGGCCGGGCGACGGUUGUCCCGGUUUAAGCGUGUAGGCUGGUUUUCCAGGCAAAUCCGGAAAAUCAAGGCUGAGGCGUGAUGACGAGGCACUACGGUGCUGAAGCAACAAAUGCCCUGCUUCCAGGAAAAGCCUCUAAGCAUCAGGUAACAUCAAAUCGUACCCCAAACCGACACAGGUGGUCAGGUAGAGAAUACCAAGGCGCUUGAGAGAACUCGGGUG